Molecule: ribosomal RNA, 500 nt
Filed under: Candida tropicalis
Lineage: Eukaryota; Fungi; Ascomycota; Pichiomycetes; Serinales; Debaryomycetaceae
Description: eukaryotic LSU rRNA
Rfam family: 5.8S ribosomal RNA (bases 142-295)
Source: RNAcentral
GGGCUUCUGAUGCUAUUGCACCACAUGUGUUUUUUAUUGAACAAAUUUCUUUGGUGGCGGGAGCAAUCCUACCGCCAGAGGUUAUAACUAAACCAAACUUUUUAUUUACAGUCAAACUUGAUUUAUUAUUACAAUAGUCAAAACUUUCAACAACGGAUCUCUUGGUUCUCGCAUCGAUGAAGAACGCAGCGAAAUGCGAUACGUAAUAUGAAUUGCAGAUAUUCGUGAAUCAUCGAAUCUUUGAACGCACAUUGCGCCCUUUGGUAUUCCAAAGGGCAUGCCUGUUUGAGCGUCAUUUCUCCCUCAAACCUCCGGGUUUGGUGUUGAGCAAUACGCUAGGUUUGUUUGAAAGAAUUUACGUGGAAACUUAUUUUAAGCGAAUUAAGGUUAUCCAAAACGCUUAUUUUGCUAGUGGCCACCACAAUUUAUUUCAUAACUUUGACCUCAAAUCAGGUAGGACUACCCGCUGAACUUAAACAUAUCAAUAAACGGGAGGAAAA